GAUGAACGCUGGCGGCGUGCCUAAUACAUGCAAGUCGAGCGAACAGACGAGGAGCUUGCUCCUCUGACGUUAGCGGCGGACGGGUGAGUAACACGUGGAUAACCUACCUAUAAGACUGGGAUAACUUCGGGAAACCGGAGCUAAUCCCGGAUAAUAUAUUGAACCGCAUGGUUCAAUAGUGAAAGACGGUUUUGCUGUCACUUAUAGAUGGAUCCGCGCCGCAUUAGCUAGUUGGUAAGGUAACGGCUUACCAAGGCAACGAUGCGUAGCCGACCUGAGAGAGUGAUCGGCCACACUGGAACUGAGACACGGUCCAUACUCCUACGGGAGGCAGCAGUAGGGAAUCUUCCGCAAUGGGCGAAAGCCUGACGGAGCAACGCCGCGUGAGUGAUGAAGGUCUUCGGAUCGUAAAACUCUGUUAUUAGGGAAGAACAAAUGUGUAAGUAACUAUGCACGUCUUGACGGUACCUAAUCAGAAAGCCACGGCUAACUACGUG
Molecule: ribosomal RNA, 497 nt
Filed under: uncultured bacterium
Lineage: Bacteria
Description: partial 16S ribosomal RNA
Rfam family: Bacterial small subunit ribosomal RNA
Source: RNAcentral